Molecule: long non-coding RNA, 676 nt
Filed under: Capsella rubella
Lineage: Eukaryota; Viridiplantae; Streptophyta; Magnoliopsida; Brassicales; Brassicaceae
Description: long non-coding RNA (CRUB_LNC000027)
Source: RNAcentral
UGCCUCAAAGCAAUGAUUUUGGGUUCUUAUCCCAUUUGGGACCAAAUAUCCACAAGUCUUUCUUCUCACUUCUAAACAUUCUUCAUGCAUCGCUAGCACUUGUAAUCAAUCAAAUUUAUUGUAUUAUAACAUAUUCUAACCCAAAAUAAGUUUAUACAAGCCAUUCACUUCCUCAAAGCAAUGGUUUUGGGUUCUUAUCCCAUUUGAGACCAAAUUUCAACAAGUCUUUCUUCUCACUUCUUAGCAUUCUUCAUGCAUCUCUAGCACUUGUAAUCAAUCAAAUUCAUUGUAUUAUAACAUAUUCUAACCCAAAAUAACUUUAUACAAGCCAUUCACUGCCUCAUAGCAAUGGUUUUGGGUUCUUAUCCCAUUUGAGACCAAAUAUCAACAAUCUUUCUUCUCACUUCUAAACAUUCUUCAUGCAUCUCUAGCACUUGUAAUCAAUCAAAUUCAUUUUAUUAUAACAUAUUCUAACCCAAAAUAACUUUAUACAAGCCAUUCACUACCUCAAAGCAAUUGUUUUGGGUUCUUAUCCCAUUUGAGACCAAAUAUCAACAAGUCUUUCUUCUCACUUCUUAGCAUUCUUCAUGCAUCUCUAGCACUUGUAAUCAAUCAAAUUCAUUGUAUUAUAACAUAUUCUAACCCAAAAUAACUUUAUACAAGCCAUUCACUGCCU